This 492-nucleotide ribosomal RNA is filed under the name uncultured bacterium. RNAcentral describes it as "partial 16S ribosomal RNA". It matches the Rfam family "Bacterial small subunit ribosomal RNA", at positions 29 to 507 of the family's 1533-position model. The record is from RNAcentral.
AGUGAACGCUGGCGGUAGGCCUAACACAUGCAAGUCGAACGGCAGCACAGUAAUAGCUUGCUCUUACGGGUGGCGAGUGGCGGACGGGUGAGGAAUACAUCGGAAUCUACUUUUUCGUGGGGGAUAACGUAGGGAAACUUACGCUAAUACCGCAUACGACCUACGGGUGAAAGCAGGGGAUCUUCGGACCUUGCGCGAUUGAAUGAGCCGAUGUCGGAUUAGCUAGUUGGCGGGGUAAAGGCCCACCAAGGCGACGAUCCGUAGCUGGUCUGAGAGGAUGAUCAGCCACACUGGAACUGAGACACGGUCCAGACUCCUACGGGAGGCAGCAGUGGGGAAUAUUGGACAGUGGGCGCAAGCCUGAUCCAGCCAUACCGCGUGGGUGAAGAAGGCCUUCGGGUUGUAAAGCCCUUUUGUUGGGAAAGAAAAGCAGCAGGUUAAUACCCCGCUGUUCUGACGGUACCCAAAGAAUAAGCACCGGCUAACUUCGUG